UAAACAAUAAUGGCGCAGUAUCCUAGUCAGUGCCACCGGCUCCCAGGAAGGGCCUAAAAAUCCUUUAAAGGGCAUAACUGUGAAACCUAUGGUGCUUGCUUCUUACGCCCAGUUUGGGGUGAGUGCUGGAGGAAGGCGUAACAUUACGCCUGCGGCGGAAGGGCGGUCUUCAAUGGCAUGAAGAUCCCGACCCUGCCGCUGUGGAGACCCGCUGUUGUGCAGACGCGUACUCCCCAGUGGUCGAAGCGACGUCUGUACGAGGUGGGAUGUAAACCUGCAAUGCGGUGCAAGGGCUUGCCCGAGUGCUGUGUGCAGAGUAGCCUGCCUUGCGUGAGCAGAUCGGGACUGCGGUCAGGCAUGCAGACCCCUGGCCAGGGGCGAGGCAUGAUAUUGCCGCACGAAAGCCUGCUUGCAAAAGAGGAUAAGAGUCGGAGGGCGCUGUGGUGGAAAUCACCUAGGCUGUCUUUCAUAGAGCAGAUAAGGGAUUGCAGUACGGACUCAGUGGCAAUCGGGUCGCUUUCUUGGCAACGGAAAGACGGCGGCUUUCAUGGGAAACCACUCCACCGGCGACGGGGAGCAGCCUCCGGGGAAAUCCUACCCGACCUAAGCCGUAAGCUUAAUCUUAUCUGCUGCCAUUAUUUUUGA
Molecule: small RNA, 645 nt
Filed under: chicken gut metagenome
Source: RNAcentral